GACGAACGCUGGCGGCGUGCCUAACACAUGCAAGUCGAACGGGACUCUUUGGAUCAAGGCUUCGGCCAAGUGAAUUUGAGUUUAGUGGCGAACGGGUGAGUAACGCGUGAGCAACCUGCCUUUCAGAGGGGGACAACAGUUGGAAACGACUGCUAAUACCGCAUAACACAACGAGGGGGCAUCCUCUUGUUGUCAAAGAUUUAUCGCUGAAAGAUGGGCUCGCGUCUGAUUAGCUGGUUGGUGAGGUAACGGCCCACCAAGGCGACGAUCAGUAGCCGGCCUGAGAGGGUGAACGGCCACAUUGGGACUGAGACACGGCCCAAACUCCUACGGGAGGCAGCAGUGGGGAAUAUUGGACAAUGGGGGAAACCCUGGAUCCAGCGACGCCGCGUGAGUGAAGAAGUAUUUCGGUAUGUAAAGCUCUAUCAGCAGGGAAGAAAUGACGGUACCUGACUAAGAAGCCCCGGCUAACUACGUG
This 478-nucleotide ribosomal RNA is filed under the name uncultured bacterium. RNAcentral describes it as "bacterial SSU rRNA". It matches the Rfam family "Bacterial small subunit ribosomal RNA", at positions 28 to 507 of the family's 1533-position model. The record is from RNAcentral.